This 464-nucleotide ribosomal RNA is filed under the name uncultured bacterium. RNAcentral describes it as "partial 16S ribosomal RNA". It matches the Rfam family "Bacterial small subunit ribosomal RNA", at positions 338 to 795 of the family's 1533-position model. The record is from RNAcentral.
CCUACGGGAGGCAGCAGUGGGGAAUCUUCCGCAAUGGGCGAAAGCCUGACGGAGCAACGCCGCGUGAUCGAAUGAAGGCCUUCGGGUUGUAAAGAUCUGUUGACAGGGACGAAUAAGCCAUGCGAAUAGUUUGGUGUAAGACGGUACCUGUUCAGAAAGCUCAGGCUAACUACGUGCCAGCAGCCGCGGUAAUACGUAGGGAGCAAGCGUUGUCCGGAAUUACUGGGCGUAAAGGGCGCGUAGGUGGGUGCUUAAGUCAGGUGUGAAAACUCUGGGCUCAACAUGGAGACUGCACUUGAAACUGGGUAUCUUGAGGGCAGGAGAGGAAAGUGGAAUUCCUGGUGUAGCGGUGAAAUGCGUAGAGAUUAGAAAGAACACCAGUGGCGAAGGCGACUUACUAGACUGUAUCUGACGCUGAGGCGCGAAAGCGUGGGUAGCGAACGGGAUUAGAUACCCUAGUAGUC